AAAGGGGAUUGCUGAAAACCUUUCAAUCGAGUAGGCA
This 37-nucleotide non-coding RNA is filed under the name unclassified sequences. RNAcentral's name for it is "DUF805b RNA". It matches the Rfam family "DUF805b RNA". Rfam says of the family: Bacteroidetes, Chlorobi (1 example), Proteobacteria. Lineage (Flavobacteria) The record is from RNAcentral.